This 410-nucleotide small RNA is filed under the name Histoplasma capsulatum var. duboisii H88. RNAcentral describes it as "Histoplasma capsulatum H88 hypothetical RNA". The record is from RNAcentral. Lineage: Eukaryota; Fungi; Ascomycota; Eurotiomycetes; Onygenales; Ajellomycetaceae.
UCCUUUUCCUGAUUAACGACCGACAGCCACGUUGGCAGACAACGAGGAUAACGGUCUGACACAAUGCGAGCUGACAUUGUUGGAAUAUUCUUCUCAGUCAGGUGGAUGGAUGAUUAUGCCUCUGACCUGGAUAUCAUCGGACUGCCCUAUUCAGCGACGGGGCUGGAUCUUUGAACAACAGUGCUUGGCUAUAUGGGAAAUAUGCGGCUAAUCCCGGUUGCAGGCUGCAGGCCGCAAGCGAUCCAUGCAGCGCCAUGAUUUCCCAGCAUGUCGCGCGAAUCCAUGAGACGGAUGUUGCAACACCCCGCGCACGAACAAAAGGUUUUUUUUGCCUAGUUGUCAAGUACGAAUUGGAUUUUUCUAACAUCUGUGUAAUUAUCAAAUUGCACUAUUCAAAUGCCUUGCGAGUG